RNAcentral lists this ribosomal RNA (452 nucleotides) under uncultured bacterium. RNAcentral describes it as "partial 16S ribosomal RNA". It matches the Rfam family "Bacterial small subunit ribosomal RNA", at positions 355 to 799 of the family's 1533-position model. The record is from RNAcentral.
UAGGGAAUCUUCCACAAUGGACGCAAGUCUGAUGGAGCAACGCCGCGUGAGUGAAGAAGGCUUUCGGGUCGUAAAGCUCUGUUGUUGGUGAAGAAGGAUAGAGGUAGUAACUGGCCUUUAUUUGACGGUAAUCAACCAGAAAGUCACGGCUAACUACGUGCCAGCAGCCGCGGUAAUACGUAGGUGGCAAGCGUUGUCCGGAUUUAUUGGGCGUAAAGCGAGCGCAGGCGGAAGAAUAAGUCUGAUGUGAAAGCCCUCGGCUUAACCGAGGAAUUGCAUCGGAAACUGUUUUCUUGAGUGCAGAAGAGGAGAGUAGAACUCCAUGUGUAGCGGUGGAAUGCGUAGAUAUAUGGAAGAAUACCAGUGGCGAAGGCGGCUCUCUGGUCUGCAACUGACGCUGAGGCUCGAAAGCAUGGGUAGCGAACAGGAUUAGAUACCCUUGGUAGUCCAUG